Long non-coding RNA from Papaver somniferum (opium poppy), 1098 nucleotides. RefSeq lists it as uncharacterized. The transcript has 4 exons. Lineage: Eukaryota; Viridiplantae; Streptophyta; Magnoliopsida; Ranunculales; Papaveraceae. The record is from RefSeq and is a predicted model, not a curated record.
UAGGUUACGGUUUAGGCACUUAAUGAAAGAUGUUAACAAAUACAUUAUUUUCGUCUUCAAGAGGAGAUAAUACAGCCAUUACAGACACCACCGGAUUAUGAAAAUCACCCUAAUAUCAUCUUCCAGGUCUAAUAUUCAAUUUCAAAUCCAAUUUCAAUACCAAAGCCGUUACAGAUUCUCAUUAGACGCCAUAAUCAUUCAAACCCUAAACCUAAAUUUCUAGGAUUUGCUCCUAAAAAUAUUUUAGACUUUCAAUCACAACCGUUGAACGUUUGUUUAUCAGAUGUAACAGUUGAAUAUUUCAAAUUUCGACAUCAUUUAUCUCAUUCAACCCAGUUAGUGUGCUGUGGAUGACCUGAUCAUUCAAAUCUGAAGGAAACAGCCGUUUCGCAUUUUCUUAGCAAUUUUGGCUAUAAGAUAGUCUCGGGCAUAAACCCACUCUCAGUGACGAAUAAACCUAUCGAAAAAUCUUUUAUCCCGGCACGAUCUGCUCCAUAUUUUUUUGGUUUAGCAAAUCUAGUGUGAACGAACCAUCAAUGCAAGCUAUUGAGUAUGAGUUUCAAUGAAGGAAAUUGACGAAAAAGGUUGGAGAUGGAGUAACGGAUACUGAUAAGGUCAAAUUCUGAGAUAGCUUCCAUCGAUGGUUCGGUCACAUACUUAUUCUAGGGCAGAUUCAUUGGCUAUUGAUGCAGAUAAUGCACAUACGAAUUUGGCACCGGGUAAGUCCCUUAUGGCGCUUCAGGAGCAGUGAGCAAAACUCCCAUAUCAUAUCAAACUAAAUCCUUGAAAGUUAAAAAAAAAAAACAAAUACUAACUACUCAAAUCUAUAACUCAGUUCCUUCUCUUACGGCAGUGCGUUGCUCCUAUUUGGUAAUGAGAGAUGCAUUGAUGUGAGAUUGCAUCUAUCAGAUGUUGCUCGACAGGUGAGCACAUACUCGCAUCUUUUUUUGUUGGUUACUAGCAUAUGACCCGUGUCGUAACAGUCUGGGGUUUGAGCUGAUGUUGUUGGCUCUUAGUGUUACCUUAUUAACUUAUCCAAUGUUUCUAUUAUAAUUCUGGUCAUGUAAACCCAUUGAAUCUCAGCUUUAUAAGACUAUU